RNAcentral lists this ribosomal RNA (492 nucleotides) under uncultured bacterium. RNAcentral's name for it is "partial 16S ribosomal RNA". It matches the Rfam family "Bacterial small subunit ribosomal RNA", at positions 29 to 507 of the family's 1533-position model. The record is from RNAcentral.
AGUGAACGCUGGCGGUAGGCCUAACACAUGCAAGUCGAACGGCAGCACAGUAAGAGCUUGCUCUUACGGGUGACGAGUGGCGGACGGGUGAGGAAUACAUCGGAAUCUACUUUUUCGUGGGGGAUAACGUAGGGAAACUUACGCUAAUACCGCAUACGACCUACGGGUGAAAGCAGGGGAUCUUCGGACCUUGCGCGAUUGAAUGAGCCGAUGGCGGAUUAGCUAGUUGGCGGGGUAAAGGCCCACCAAGGCGACGAUCCGUAGCUGGUCUGAGAGGAUGAUCAGCCACACUGGAACUGAGACACGGUCCAGACUCCUACGGGAGGCAGCAGUGGGGAAUAUUGGACAAUGGGCGCAAGCCUGAUCCAGCCAUACCGCGUGGGUGAAGAAGGCCUUCGGGUUGUAAAGCCCUUUUGUUGGGAAAGAAAAGCAGCAGGUUAAUACCCCGCUGUUCUGACGGUACCCAAAGAAUAAGCACCGGCUAACUUCGUG